Molecule: transfer RNA, 73 nt
Filed under: Danio rerio (zebrafish)
Lineage: Eukaryota; Metazoa; Chordata; Actinopteri; Cypriniformes; Danionidae
Rfam family: tRNA
About the family: Transfer RNA (tRNA) molecules are approximately 80 nucleotides in length. Their secondary structure includes four short double-helical elements and three loops (D, anti-codon, and T loops).
Source: Rfam by way of RNAcentral
GCUGAAAUUGCUCAGUUGGGAGAGGGUUAAACUGAAGAUCUAAAGGUCCCUGGUUCGAUCCUGGGUUUUGGCA